GGCACGCAUGACUGUAAGUCACUUUGGAUAAAAGUGUCUGCUAUACGGCAUUUG
Molecule: non-coding RNA, 54 nt
Organism: Salmo salar (Atlantic salmon)
Lineage: Eukaryota; Metazoa; Chordata; Actinopteri; Salmoniformes; Salmonidae
Source: Rfam